UACGAAAGGGGCGAGUGUUAUUCGAAAUUACUGGGCGUAAAGGGUAAGUAGGUGGUUGAGUAAGUUGUAUGUUAAAUCCCAAAGCUUAACUUUGGUAAAGCAUACAAAACUACUCAACUUGAAUAAAAGAGAGGAUAGUGGAAUUUCUAAUGGAGGGUUAGAUUCUGUAGAUAUUAGAAGGAACAUCAAAGGCGAAGGCAACUAUCUGGCUUUUUAUUGACGCUAAAUUACGAAGGCGUAGGUAGCGAACAGG
RNAcentral lists this ribosomal RNA (253 nucleotides) under uncultured bacterium. RNAcentral describes it as "partial 16S ribosomal RNA". It matches the Rfam family "Bacterial small subunit ribosomal RNA", at positions 524 to 776 of the family's 1533-position model. The record is from RNAcentral.